CAAAGAGUAGUUUAACGCUAGAAUCCUGGCUUUGGGAGUCAGGGGUGGGAGUUGAAAUCUCUCUUCUUUGA
This is a non-coding RNA of Scophthalmus maximus (turbot), 71 nucleotides long. The record is from Ensembl. Lineage: Eukaryota; Metazoa; Chordata; Actinopteri; Pleuronectiformes; Scophthalmidae.